Molecule: long non-coding RNA, 669 nt
Organism: Heterocephalus glaber (naked mole-rat)
Lineage: Eukaryota; Metazoa; Chordata; Mammalia; Rodentia; Bathyergidae
Source: Ensembl
CUCAGGAGGGUGUUUAGUGAGCAGACAGCCUCUUGGAUUAGAGAUUGUUAUACAAAUGUCAUUCUUUAUCAUCAUCAUCUAACUUUUCAAGAGCAGAGUUAAGAAAGAAACUUUCCUAAUAUCACCAAUUAUCCAGUUGAAUCAUGAAACACAAAAGAAAAAUAAAACAUCUGGAACCUUCAUUGUUAAACUAAACAGAAAAGAGACCAAGAGAAGAGUUAGAUUUAUAAGAUGAUCUGCAGAGCAGAAACAAUGUACUGACCCCAACUCAAGACCAGGAAGAGAGCAAUAUUUCUUCAAAUCACUUCUUUUGCGAAGACAAAUUCUUUGGUGCAGGCAUGAAGUAAUGAUUAAAUAAGCACCUCUGGAAACCUUUUGGUGGAUGUCUUCAGUCAUGCUGUCUUCGCUGUCUUGAUGUCCUGAAUCAACUCCAAAUGUGCCAGGCCAGUAAAGAAGACACAUUUUUCCUUCUGAAUUGAAUGUAGGAGGCCUGCAAUCAUGGAAACUCAAGACAUCGGCUCUCAGCCACCAUGUGACCAGAGCUUACACCCAAUGCUGUCAGCUAAAUGCCUGUGAGAGAACUGUCCAACUCCAAGUGUAUUUUUCUUCCACUAGAACAGCUAAAAUUAAAAAGACCAACACUACCAAAAAUUGGCAAGAAGGUGGGCA